UUUCCGUAGGUGAACCUGCGGAAGGAUCAUUAGUGAAUUGAAUAUGUUAGCGGACCUCUUCGGAAUCCCUAGCAUCAAAUCAUAUCCACAACACCUGUGAACUGUAAGGCUGUCGUGAAAACGAAAGUGAUUAGAGCGCCUGCCCAUUUUAUACAAACAUUAAAGUAACAAACGGAGUCUUAUUAGAAACUAAUAAAACUUUCAACAACGGAUCUCUUGGCUCUC
RNAcentral lists this unclassified non-coding RNA (225 nucleotides) under plant metagenome. Its description in RNAcentral is "partial contains small subunit ribosomal RNA, internal transcribed spacer 1, and 5.8S ribosomal RNA". The record is from RNAcentral.